Molecule: ribosomal RNA, 460 nt
Filed under: uncultured bacterium
Lineage: Bacteria
Description: partial 16S ribosomal RNA
Rfam family: Bacterial small subunit ribosomal RNA
Source: RNAcentral
CCUACGGGUGGCAGCAGUGAGGAAUAUUGGUCAAUGGGCGGGAGCCUGAACCAGCCAAGUCGCGUGAGGGAAGACGGUCCUACGGAUUGUAAACCUCUUUUGCCGGGGAGCAACGGGGUCCUUGCGAGGGCCCGAUGAGAGUACCCGGAGAAAAAGCAUCGGCUAACUCCGUGCCAGCAGCCGCGGUAAUACGGAGGAUGCGAGCGUUAUCCGGAUUUAUUGGGUUUAAAGGGUGCGUAGGCGGAUCGUUAAGUCAGUGGUCAAAUUGAGGGGCUCAACCCCUUCCCGCCAUUGAAACUGGCGAUCUUGAGUGGAAGAGAAGUAUGCGGAAUGCGUGGUGUAGCGGUGAAAUGCAUAGAUAUCACGCAGAACCCCGAUUGCGAAGGCAGCAUGCCGGCUUCCGACUGACGCUGAAGCACGAAAGCGUGGGGAUCGAACAGGAUUAGAUACCCUUGUAGUC